Molecule: small nuclear RNA, 286 nt
Filed under: Mus pahari (shrew mouse)
Lineage: Eukaryota; Metazoa; Chordata; Mammalia; Rodentia; Muridae
Description: sRNA (MGP_PahariEiJ_G0008048.1)
Rfam family: 7SK RNA
About the family: 7SK was discovered as an abundant small nuclear RNA in the mid-70s but a possible function has only recently been suggested. Two independent studies have found that 7SK RNA binds the CDK9/cyclin T complex (known as elongation factor P-TEFb). P-TEFb activates transcription by phosphorylating the C-terminal domain of RNA polymerase II.
Source: RNAcentral
AGAGGAGUGUGACUGUGACAUCUGUCGUCCCGGGGACCAGGCUUGAUUAGGCUGAUCUAGCUAGCUAGUCAUGUGUUCCCUUCCUCUCAACUCGCUCCACAUGCAUCCCUCCCAGAGCUGCAUGCUCUGAGACAGGAGGACCGUUGUUUGGUCACAGGUAUGGGAGUAGCUACCCUCCCCCUGCUAGAAUCUCUAAAGCAGCUGUUGAGAUGGACAGGAAGCAGUGCUGCUUCCUUGUUCUCCUCACUCAAACACUGGACUAUGUUGAAGGGUAGAAGGCUUUCUG